GAUGAAGAACGUAGCGAAAUGCGAUAAGUAAUGUGAAUUGCAGAAUUCAGUGAAUCAUCGAAUCUUUGAACGCACAUUGCGCCCGCCAGCAUUCUGGCGGGCAUGCCUGUUCAAGCGUCAUUUCAACCCUCGAGCCCCCCCGGGGGCCUCGGUGUUGGGGGACGGCACACCAGCCGCCCCCGAAAUGCAGUGGCGACCCCACCGCAGCCUCCCCUGCGUAGUAGCACACACCUCGCACCGGAGCGCGGAGGCGGUCACGCCGUAAAACGCCCAACUUUCUUAGAGUUGACCUCGGAUCAGGUAGGAAUACCCGCUGAACUUAAGCAUAUCAAUAAGCGGAGGA
RNAcentral lists this unclassified non-coding RNA (343 nucleotides) under soil metagenome. Its description in RNAcentral is "partial contains 5.8S ribosomal RNA, internal transcribed spacer 2, and large subunit ribosomal RNA". The stretch from base 1 to 120 matches the Rfam family "5.8S ribosomal RNA", at positions 35 to 154 of the family's 154-position model. The record is from RNAcentral.